Small nuclear RNA from Cololabis saira (Pacific saury), 191 nucleotides. RefSeq annotates it as U2 spliceosomal RNA. Lineage: Eukaryota; Metazoa; Chordata; Actinopteri; Beloniformes; Belonidae. The record is from RefSeq and is a predicted model, not a curated record. The transcript has a single exon.
AUCGCUUCUCGGCGUUUUGGCUAAGAUCAAGUGUAGCAUCUGUUCUUAUCAGUUUAAUAUCUGAUAUGUCCUCUAUAUGAGGACAACAUAUUAAGCCGAUUUUUGGCAGCGGGAGUUGAAAAAGGAGCUAGCUCCGUUCACUCCAAGCAUCGCCCCGGUACUGCAGUGUCGCCGGGAAUGGUGCACGCUUC